This 692-nucleotide ribosomal RNA is filed under the name Escherichia coli. RNAcentral's name for it is "bacterial SSU rRNA". It matches the Rfam family "Bacterial small subunit ribosomal RNA", at positions 828 to 1520 of the family's 1533-position model. Lineage: Bacteria; Pseudomonadati; Pseudomonadota; Gammaproteobacteria; Enterobacterales; Enterobacteriaceae. RNAcentral also lists the same sequence under 1 other name. The record is from RNAcentral.
GCCCUUGAGGCGUGGCUUCCGGAGCUAACGCGUUAAGUCGACCGCCUGGGGAGUACGGCCGCAAGGUUAAAACUCAAAUGAAUUGACGGGGGCCCGCACAAGCGGUGGAGCAUGUGGUUUAAUUCGAUGCAACGCGAAGAACCUUACCUGGUCUUGACAUCCACAGAACUUUCCAGAGAUGGAUUGGUGCCUUCGGGAACUGUGAGACAGGUGCUGCAUGGCUGUCGUCAGCUCGUGUUGUGAAAUGUUGGGUUAAGUCCCGCAACGAGCGCAACCCUUAUCCUUUGUUGCCAGCGGUCCGGCCGGGAACUCAAAGGAGACUGCCAGUGAUAAACUGGAGGAAGGUGGGGAUGACGUCAAGUCAUCAUGGCCCUUACGACCAGGGCUACACACGUGCUACAAUGGCGCAUACAAAGAGAAGCGACCUCGCGAGAGCAAGCGGACCUCAUAAAGUGCGUCGUAGUCCGGAUUGGAGUCUGCAACUCGACUCCAUGAAGUCGGAAUCGCUAGUAAUCGUGGAUCAGAAUGCCACGGUGAAUACGUUCCCGGGCCUUGUACACACCGCCCGUCACACCAUGGGAGUGGGUUGCAAAAGAAGUAGGUAGCUUAACCUUCGGGAGGGCGCUUACCACUUUGUGAUUCAUGACUGGGGUGAAGUCGUAACAAGGUAACCGUAGGGGAACCUGCGGUUG